AACGAACGCUGGCGGCAUGCCUAACACAUGCAAGUCGAACGAGAUCUUCGGGUCUAGUGGCGCACGGGUGCGUAACGCGUGGGAAUCUGCCCUUUGGUUCGGAAUAACAGUUGGAAACGACUGCUAAUACCGGAUGAUGGCGAAAGUCCAAAGAUUUAUCGCCAGAGGAUGAGCCCGCGUAGGAUUAGCUAGUUGGUGUGGUAAAGGCGCACCAAGGCGACGAUCCUUAGCUGGUCUGAGAGGAUGAUCAGCCACACUGGGACUGAGACACGGCCCAGACUCCUACGGGAGGCAGCAGUGGGGAAUAUUGGACAAUGGGCGAAAGCCUGAUCCAGCAAUGCCGCGUGAGUGAUGAAGGCCUUAGGGUUGUAAAGCUCCUUUACCCGGGAUGAUAAUGACAGUACCGGGAGAAUAAGCUCCGGCUAACUCCGUGCCAGCCGCCGCGGUAA
RNAcentral lists this ribosomal RNA (449 nucleotides) under uncultured bacterium. RNAcentral describes it as "partial 16S ribosomal RNA". It matches the Rfam family "Bacterial small subunit ribosomal RNA", at positions 29 to 523 of the family's 1533-position model. The record is from RNAcentral.